GCUCGGGCGGGUAGGACUUGGUCUGGCCCAGCGGCGUCCCGAGUCUGCCCCCCACGCCUUUAUAAAGUUGGGGAACUCAGGAGAACCUUCAGGAUAAGUGUUGGGACAACUCCCGCUAGUUGUUGUGUACAUGUGCGCAGUGAGCGGGCCGAGCCGAGAGGAAGCGAGAGCGCCCGAGUUUGCAAAGAGCUGCUUUGUGUUUGGUAUUUUGAGAAAAUGGCCGAAUGCCUAUUUCAGUUAGGAAUGCCGCCGCCGAGGCAGGCGCUGGUGGCAGGGCACGUAGGAAUUCGUGCGGCACGUUGGGCUUUCGGGCCGUGCUGGGAUGGUCUUCCCUACAAACGUUGAAAUUCCUUCAGGGAUGAAUACAGUUAUGGCCACCCAGGUAAUGGGCCAGUCUUCUGGAGGAGGGGGGCUAUUCACCAGUGGUGGCAACAUUGGCAUGGCCUUGCCUAACGACAUGUAUGACUUGCAUGACCUCUCCAAAGCUGAACUGGCUGCGCCUCAGCUUAUCAUGUUGGCAAAUGUGGCCUUAACUGGAGAAGUAAAUGGCAGCUGCUGUGAUUACCUGGUGGGUGAAGAGAGACAGAUGGCAGAAUUGAUGCCUGUGGGGGAUAACAACUUUUCAGAUAGUGAUGGAGAAGGACUGGAUGAGUCUCCUGAAAUAAAAGGUGAACCCAGUGGACUAGAAAACAUGGAACUGGAAAGUUUGGAGCUCAGUGUGGUAGAACCACAGCCUGUGUUCGAAGUAUCAGCUGCCCCAGAAACUUAUGACUCAAAUAAAGACCUUCCUCUGGAAACACCUGGAACAGAGGACAAAUGUAAGAACUUGAAGACCAAACCCUUUCGCUGUAAGCCAUGCCAGUAUGAAGCAGAAUCUGAAGAACAGUUUGUACAUCAUAUCAGAGUUCAUAGUGCCAAGAAAUUUUUCGUGGAAGAAAGUGCAGAGAAGCAAGCAAAAGCCAGGGAAUCUGGCUCUUCUACUGUGGAGGAGGGAGAUUUCUCCAAGGGCCCCAUUCGCUGUGACCGAUGUGGCUACAAUACCAAUCGUUAUGAUCACUAUACUGCUCACCUGAAGCACCACACCAGAGCUGGGGAUAAUGAGCGAGUCUACAAGUGCAUCAUUUGCACGUACACAACAGUAAGCGAAUAUCACUGGAGGAAACACUUGAGAAACCAUUUUCCAAGGAAAGUAUACACAUGUGGGAAAUGCAACUAUUUUUCAGACAGAAAAAACAAUUAUGUUCAACAUGUUCGAACUCAUACAGGAGAACGCCCAUAUAAGUGUGAGCUUUGUCCUUACUCAAGUUCUCAGAAGACUCAUCUAACUAGACAUAUGCGUACUCAUUCAGGUGAGAAGCCAUUUAAAUGUGAUCAGUGCAGUUAUGUGGCCUCUAAUCAACAUGAAGUUACCCGCCAUGCAAGACAGGUUCACAAUGGGCCUAAACCUCUUACUUGCCCACACUGUGACUACAAAACAGCAGACAGAAGUAACUUCAAAAAACAUGUAGAGUUACAUGUUAAUCCACGGCAGUUCAAUUGCCCUGUAUGUGACUAUGCGGCUUCUAAGAAGUGUAAUCUGCAGUAUCAUUUCAAAUCUAAGCAUCCUACUUGUCCUAAUAAAACAAUGGAUGUCUCAAAAGUGAAACUAAAGAAAACCAAAAAGAGAGAGGCUGACUUGCCUGAUAACAAUAUGACCAAUGAAAAAACAGAAGCAGAACAGACAAAAAUAAAGGGGGAUGUGGCUGGAAAGAAAAAUGAGAGGGCUGUGAAAGUGGAGAAAAAAGACAAUGUUUCAAAAGAGAAAAAGCCUUGCAGUAAUGCCUCAAUCCAGAUUACUACCAGAACUCGCAAAUCUGCAGUGGAAACUAAAGAAAUGGAUAUGCAGACAGGGAAUAAUUCAGAAAAAACUUGUAAAACCAAGAAAAGCAAAAGGAAGGUGGAAGCUGAAGUCCAUUCCUUACAAGAUCCUAUUACUGAUGAGGGACCUGUGACAAAAAAGAAAAAGAAGGCAGAAAGCAAAUCCAGAAAUAAUCAAGAAGUGCCAAAGGCUGAUGGCAAACUUGAGAAUAAAAAGCAAAAUACAUGCCUGAAAAAAACUGCAAAGAAGAAAACUCUGAAAAAUAAAUUAAGUAAAAAAAGCAGCAAGCCUGUUCAGAAGGAGACUGCUCAGAGGGGUACUCAGGUAGAGCCUCUGCAGAUGGAACCUGCUCAGACUGAGCCACCUUCUCCUAUAGAGUCUGCCCAGCCGGGGCCUCCCCAGCCAGAGUCUCCCCACAUGGAGCCGCCGUCUCCCAUGGGGCCUGCUCAGCUAGAGGUUGUUCAGAAGGGGCCUGUUGAAAUGGAGGCUCCCCUUCACAAGGAACCGAUUCCCAAAAAGUCUCCUCAAAAAGAUAAUAAAAAGGAAAAGGCCAACAUGCUGAGUGAAAUGGUACGGAAGGAGCAAGUCCUUAUUGAAGUUGGCUUAGUGCCUGUUAAGGAUAGCCAGCCUCUGAAAGAAAAUGCUGAUGCACUGGAUCUCUCACCACCAUCACCACUGCUGCCAAAGGAAAACCUAAAAGAAGAGGAGACAAAAGACCAAAAAUUACUCAGCGAAGGCAAAGGAAAUAAAGAAACUCCUCUUCAAAAAGUAGAAGCAGAAGAGGCAGAUAAGAGUCCAGCAGGACUUGCUGCUGUUAUCAAGGAAUCUGCCAGUAUUUCAUCCUCGGAACAAAACCUGAAUAUGCCAGAGGGUGGAACUUUAGAUGGCAGAUGGCAGGCUGACACUGUGCUUUCUGAAAUGGAAAUGGACACUGAUGAGAAUAAAACAGAGAAUCUCCCUGGCAGAAACUCAGCAGUUGAAGAACUAAUUUCACCACUGCUUCCUCUACCAACAGAAAAACAUGAAGUAGUGUCCAAAACUGCUGUGGCAUCACCUCCUGUCACCACGGCAAUAAAUAAGUCUCAGGAAAUGGAUGAAGAUGAAGGCAUCCACAGUCACGAUGGAAGUGAUCUAAGUGACAACAUGUCAGAGGGUAGUGAUGAUUCUGGAUUGAAUGGGGCUCGGCCAGUUCCACAAGAAGCUAGUAGAAGAAACGCUAAGGAAGCCUUGGCAGUCAAAGUGGCUGAUGGAGAUUUCGUUUGUAUCUUCUGUGAUCGUUCUUUUAGAAAGGAAAAAGAUUAUAGCAAACACCUUAAUCGCCAUUUGGUUAAUGUAUACUUCCUUGAAAAAGCAGCUAAAGGACAGGAGUAAUUAAGCUUUGGACAAGGCUUCAGUUCUUAGUUUGUAAGAUCUAUUACACUUUAUAUUCAUUUAUAGUAGUAGACAACCUUUUACUUUUAAAAUUGCUUUAAUUAGUGUCCACUGUUGAUUUUUAAGUGACACUUUUCCCUAGGACUAUAUACCUGUUGAUGGAUAGAUUUGAGCAAAUCCAAGGAAGUUAGUGUACUAAACCAGCAGAUACCUAAAUCUGUUAGCUUAUGCAUUUAACUGAAAUGAGAAGGCCUAGGUGGUAUAUGAAAAUCUGUUGCUUUGUCUAUAACUUGUCGGUUUCUCCCCCAUGUCUGUCUGCCUGUUUCACUUCAGUUUAUUUGUAGUUUCUUGUUUAGCUCUAUAAAAAUUGGCUUACUUAAAUAGCAAAUUACUUGAAGAAUUUGCCUGCUUUAUAUAAAGUUAGCACUUUAAAAUUUUUUAGAUAAAAGAGACGUUUAAAUUGAGAAGUUCCCCAACAAUGGACAUUGUAUCAGUCCAGGUAUUUACUUUCUAAGUUUUGAUCAAUAUUUCUUAUUUGUGUAUGUUAAUCGUCAUAAAAACAAUGAUUUUGGUGUGUUUUUUUAUUUUGGUGCUUUAAUGGCUUAAGAUGUUGCACAUUUUUUUUUAACCUAUGCAGUUAAAUUUUUCUAGAAAUAGCAUUUGUGUUGAGCAGUAACACUUUAUACGUGUAUAUAUAUAUGUGUAUAUAUAUAUAUAUAUAUAUAUAUAUGCAUGUUUAUUUUGUCCUCUUUGGAGGGAUGCUUUUAGUCUUGUUUGCAAAGGGCAGUUUUCUUUUUUCCUUUGCUGCAAUUGUCUUUUGCAGAAUAUUAGUGUGAGCAAAUUUGUGAGCAAAUGAAGCAUGCAGGUUCAAUCUAUUGAUUUUGAUUUUCACAUUUCUAUGCCAGAAUCUGUAUUUCAUAUAAGUUAUUUAUUUUAAAUGGAUGUAGUGAAUUCACAGCGCUCAUUUUGAAUUUCGCAAUAAACCACUAGGCUCUAUAUUGAGUGGAUUUUUAUCUCAAAUACCAACCAUAAGUAAAUUUUGGCGUUUUAGUACAGCUACUUCCUAAAUGUACACUGUUAAGUCAGAUUUUUUAGGAAAACCAUUUUUUCAUAGGUGGUUGGUGUUCAUGUGGCUAUUCAGCUGAAUAAAGAACUAUAAGUGAUAACUUGGAAACUGCAAAUCUGGAAUUAGGAGGCAUAAUCACUCCUUUAAGUUACACAGAUUAUCAGUUGUGAGGUUCCAAAGCCAUAGCAUUACACAGAAAAUCUAGCAUGAGAGAGGAUGAGUACAGGUAGACCAGCUACUCCUUCCUGUGAAUACAAUAGAAAAGGCUAGUUAGACUUCUGUACAGUCCAGAUUUUUAAAAUCACAUUUUCUCAGGUAUCUCCACAAACUAGUGGGUGUCCUGGCUGUCCUGUGACAGCCUCUUUCUACAGGUGAGGCCUCAAAUGAAUUACAGCUAUCCUCAUGUUCCUGGGGGGCACUUCAUAUGAAAAAGUGUGUGUACUCCCAGACUUUUUCGUAGGUUCUUUGGCUAAUUUGCCAAGGAAUAUAAAAAAAUCCGACAUAGGAUUUUUCUUGCUGAUAGCAGUUACUCAUUGCAGUAAAAUAAACUAUGAUCCCAAUAGGGAAUCUUAAACAAUUCUGUUCCUUCCAUGUUCUAUUCUAAAAUAACCACUUUAUACUUCAUUUAUUUUCUUUUAUCUGGUGAUCUCUUUGAGGCAGGGUUCAAGAGUUUGGCAGUGCAACAUGAAAGGUUAGAAAACAGCGUUGAUGAAGUGUGGGUGGAGAACUUAUUAAAAAUCUGAGAAUGAAGUUUGAGUUAAAAGACAUUUGAACUUGGAAUUGACUGGGAGGCCAAAGAUUUAAAGAAGAUGAUUCUCUCCAGACAUGAGGAAGCUGCUUCUUUGGAGCUUUUUUCUUUUUUAAAUUGAGGUGUACUUCACAACAGGCUACAUUUUUUUGAUAAUGCUUUUAUAACUGACCAGAUAUUUUGCUCUAGUCUUCUAAAAGGGCCAUUUUAUAUUUUAGAAUCACUUCUAAAGUCAUGUGGUCUUUAACUUUAGGGACUAUUUUGCAUAUGAGUGUUAAUUCAAUUUUAAACCCAAGUAGACCUCAUUUGCAUGUCACCCCAUGAAUGCUGACAAUGGAAGAAACACCUUGCCUGUAGUAGAACAUCAGUUCUGGACUGAGAAGCUGGGGAAGAAACUUAAUUUUCUUUUUUGCAUAAAUCAGGAAAACAGCUGGUAUGCAGUUCCCUUGUUGACCUCAGCAGAUGAAGUGAGCUGAUGGUGUUAAUUCAGAUUAAGAAACUUUCUGAAUUUUACCUUAUGUAGAUUUUGUUAUCUACAUGCAAUGUUAACUAAAUCGGGUAGCUUUUACAGUUUCACAUUUUGUGUACAUAGGCUUUCUCCACCCUUUUUCAACAUCCAUUAGUUACUGAACUCUGUAAACUGUCAUUGAAACAUUAAAACAAUGUUUUGUUGCACCAAUUUUAUAAACUUUUACAGUGCAAUACGUGUUAUUUUUCAGAGACAAACCAAAGGUUAAUUUCUCAAGGUUCUUGCUGCCAGCUUAAGCAGCAUUUUAUGGAGGAUCUUUUAUAUAUACAUUUGUAAUAAAUGAAAAAUAAACCAGAUUGCAAUUUUUUUUUUUUAACCACGUACUGAGUUUUUGGUCCAAAUUGUAUAGGAUAAGUUAAAGUUAAAUUGCAUUCUAUUAACCAAUAUGAGUGUAUUUCUGUAAGCAUAGUUACAUUGAAAUAAAGUUU
Molecule: RNA transcript, 6000 nt
Organism: Manis javanica (Malayan pangolin)
Lineage: Eukaryota; Metazoa; Chordata; Mammalia; Pholidota; Manidae
Gene: REST
Gene name: RE1 silencing transcription factor
Source: RefSeq, a predicted model, not a curated record